AAAAGAAGGCCAAUUCCGUUCUCCUCUCUUUAUCGUGAACACUUUCGCCGGUUGAUUUCAUCGAUCGUCGUUCAAUCAUCACCUGCAAAUGGAAAUGGGAAUAGAAUCGGCUACUCCGAAGUCCGAUCACGUCGCCGGAAUGGCUUUGAACAUUCCGGUGAAUGAUUCGAAUUAUGCGACGGCGUUGUUCCUCCCUAGACGCCUUCGCCGACGCCUUCUUGAAACCAAAACUCCUUCCAUUAUUACCGCCCAAGAUAUUGAAACCAAGCUUAA
This 273-nucleotide unclassified non-coding RNA is filed under the name Hevea brasiliensis (rubber tree). The record is from RNAcentral. Lineage: Eukaryota; Viridiplantae; Streptophyta; Magnoliopsida; Malpighiales; Euphorbiaceae.